Monopterus albus (swamp eel) is the source of this 749-nucleotide long non-coding RNA. RefSeq lists it as uncharacterized. The record is from RefSeq and is a predicted model, not a curated record. Lineage: Eukaryota; Metazoa; Chordata; Actinopteri; Synbranchiformes; Synbranchidae. The transcript is spliced from 2 exons.
CACAAACUGAAGUUAGUCAUGGCGUUCCACAGGGCUCUGUGUUAGGUCCAAUUCUCUUCACUUUAUACAUGCUCCGUUUAGGCAAUAUUGCUAUGCAGAUAAUACUCAGUUAUAUUUAUUUAUGAAGCCAAAUGAAUCAGAUCAGCUGGUCAAACUUCAAGCAUGUCUUAAAGACAUAAAGGCCUGGAUGACCUGUAACUUCUUACUUCUAAACUGACAAAACUGAAGUCAUCUCUGAACAUAAUGCAGUCUAGUACACCACCACCUUUAACUAUGACCUCAGUAAUAAACAUAUAAUUGAACUUAUACAUUUAUGACAAUUUCACCAUAAACAUUUUGAGCUUCAUAAACACAGAUGUUAAGGCAGAAGUGUUCCAUUAAAUUGCAUACAGCUGUACCAAAGAAACUUUGUAUGUGUGUCACAGAGACAAUGUCUAAGCAGCAUGCAGUGAUCAAAACUUAAAUAUGCAGGUGUUUCUAGAAUGAAAUUCCUUCACAUGACAAUUGUACAAAAAAUAUAUAUUGAUUGGUCCCAAAAGACUACAGAGAUAUCACUUUAAAAAUGUUAAAGUAAUAGAUAAGAAUCCACCACUUGAGCUUCAAAAGUAAGCAAGGAAGGCCUUAAAAAAGGCAUGCAGUAUAAAAAAAAAUAAUAUCUUAUCAUUAUGGCCCACAAAACUACUUUUCAAGACAAAAACAUUGUUCAUCCAUCCAAUAACAUGUCAUGGCAGGAAAUGCAAAUGAUGCAA